Long non-coding RNA from Homo sapiens (human), 1647 nucleotides. Ensembl annotates it as long intergenic non-protein coding RNA 1206. NCBI's taxonomy places the organism in Eukaryota, Metazoa, Chordata, Mammalia, Primates, Hominidae. The record is from Ensembl.
AGACCUUGACAGUUGUAACCGAUAGACUGGGCUGGGGCAACGCUGAUGAAAGGCAAAUUCCUGAGAGAAAAAUCACCCAGAUUUUUCAGUGCCUUCUCUAGCUUUCUAGAAGUUGUUAUGAGUGGACCUGACUACCUAGAGAGAGUAAUACAGAAGCUCCGUGCCGAUCACAGCUACCUCAUUACCAUGUUCCUCCAAGAUGGCCGCCCCUGAGGAGAAUCAUCAACUGGGCUUUACGGAAGAGAGAAAUCCAAACGACCAUCAGCAACAAAUGAAAGACUGAAGUUGAAAGGAAAUCCAUAAUUUUUGAAUGCUGGCCGAGGUCUGUGACCUCUGACUGAAUGGUUUCCAAGCUCCGAAUUCCUAGGUGAUGUUUUCAUUUGUUCACACUUGCUGAAGAAGGGAAAGGCUCUCUGAUUUACGUGUAAGCAAAACAAUCUAAACAGUAGGAUAAAAUCAUGUUGGAAUGGAGUUCUGUGUGGAUGCUCCUUUGAACCAAAUCAGUUCCACAACUGACCCUGUCAGGGACAUAUAAAUUUAGCAUUUUGGUGUGGAUACAGAAGACGAGAUUAACACAGAUCAAGUAACAUGGAAAUAAAAAAGGAGACAAUGCUGGAUGAUACAGGGGCAGCCAACAAGAGGAGAAAACCCAAGCAUUGGCAAAUGCCUCAUUAUCCAAAGAACACUGUAAAAGAAAGCCUGAGGAGGCUUUCCCCUCUGAGUUUUUCCGUGGAUUGCUGGACUCUGAGGCCCUCAUUCCUCUUGCAGGAGGUGUGGAGCAAAACUGUGUUGAAUGAACUGUAGAUGGAAAUUCUCUCCUUCCCACCGAGGAGCCGCUGCAGGUUGCAGACUCCCAGAAUGCCACACUGAGAAGAGGAGGGCUAAAAUUCUAGAGCAGAAUCCCUGGGGCAGCCCCUGCUGAAGAAGGGUGCAUCUGUUGAGAAUCUCAUCACCGCCCCCACCCCGCCCAGCCUUCAAUUUAGAGGAAUUUCUAGUUCACGCAGAAUGAAGACAAGAUCACAUAAGUGAGGACGACGCCCCAUUUACAAGUGUGAUUUGGAAGACUGAAGUGGAAACCUUGGGAAGGGGCCUCAGAGUAUGUCAGCUGGGGUCAGACGGGAACAGGAGUCUGGCUCAACACACAUUUAUUGCACUCCUGUUUCAUGCCAAGAAAUGUACCAAAAUCUGGGACUGUGUAACACAGCAAAGGAAAAGACUCAUCUCCAGGAAGCCCCCUUGUCUAGGAAGAGAAAUUGAAUAUCAGCAUAAGGUGGUGAAAAGCUGUGAAGGAGAUGAGUGCCAGGAGUCCAUGGAGGAAGGAUUCUAGCCUGGACAGGUGAGGAAUGGCUUUCUGGAAGAAGCAGAUGCCCCAGCUGAACUUUAAAAUGCCCAUGUGAAAUGAACUGUCUGUAUCUUCAAUCAGCAAAUGGAGUAGGUGGCCACUGUUUAAUUCUGGAAUGGGGAAGUGUAAAGGUGUGGUGUGUGUGUUUACCCCUACUUAGGGAUUCAAAACAGACAGUAAAGAACAAAAGUCUAGCCCUUUGAGCAUUCUCCAUGGGACAUUUGAGGUCUAGCUGGCCCCAGAGAAAGAGAGACAGAAGCAAGGUCAUAUCCAUUUGAGAAAAUCAAAGUGUCUGCUCCAAUUGA